Monodelphis domestica (gray short-tailed opossum) is the source of this 917-nucleotide long non-coding RNA. RefSeq lists it as uncharacterized. The record is from RefSeq and is a predicted model, not a curated record. NCBI's taxonomy places the organism in Eukaryota, Metazoa, Chordata, Mammalia, Didelphimorphia, Didelphidae.
AUUCCUGUAUUCUUUUUCUGAACCUAUUAUGUACUUGCAAAGUGGAAAAACUGCCCACAUUUACAGAAGACAUUCAGAUCUAGCACUUACCACCUGAGGGAGUCUUAGGGAAUCACUGUGGCUCCCACCUGUCAGAAGCAGAAUUUGUACACAAGCCUUCCCCUGUCUCUGUUGAGUCCUCUAUUGACUCUACCACCCUCGUUCCCUAGGAGUGCUGCUCAGGAAGCCCUGGAUUCUAAUCCAGCUUCAUUCUUCCUAGUUGUGUGACCUUGGGUCAGUCACUUUCUGCAUCACAUCUAUAAAAUGGACAUCCUAAUUGUACCAUAAUUGUACCACCCUCCCAAAUUUGUGGGAAUAAGAUGAGCUAUUUGUAAAGUUGUUCAUCCUUCAUUUUUAUAGCAGACUAGUGACAGUGUCUUAUCACGUUCUAGUGAAUAGGAUUUAAGUGAGGCAGAGGCACAUGAAGUACUCAGCCUUAUUCUCUCUUCUAGUCCUACAAGUUCAGUGGCAAGCCAAAAGGCAGGACCACUAGACGUCCCAGGACCUUGGCUUCUCCGAGGCCUGAGGGACCUCUACCACACUCCACCUUGCCUGCUGCUGCUGCCCUCAUGGCCUCAGCAACACAUCACUUUUGUCUACCCAUUCUGCCUGGGGAAGUCUUCCCUGGCCUGGAGUGGACAAUCCUGAGUCACCGGUCUGUGGCCUUUUGGCCACAUGGCGGAGCCCACAGCCUCCAGGAACACCAUUUGCUGUGCCUCCCUAACGUGCUCAUCAAGAAAACUGGCAUGAUCAUCUGGAUUGUGUUUUAGGCUCCUCCUAGGCAGUUCGUGUUUUCCUUGACAACAUGACUAAUUAUGGGGAGGAAGAGAAGUGGAGGAGCUCCAGAGAAAGAAUUAAAAGAGUGAAUGCAGAUCAAA